UCAGACGAUGCGUCAUGCAUAUCAAUAAGCGGAGGAAAAGAAACUAACAAGGAUUCCCCUAGUAACGGCGAGUGAAGCGGGAAGAGCUCAAAUUUGAAAUCUUAAAGGGUUUCCCUUUACGAAUUGUAGUUUAAAGAAGUGUUUUCUGUUGAGGUUUUGGUAAAAGUUCUUUGGAAUAGGACAUCAUAGAGGGUGAGAAUCCCGUAUUUGACCUUUACUUUCAACUUUGUGAUACACUUUCAAAGAGUCGGAUUGUUUGGGAAUGCAGUCCAAAAUGGGUGGUAAAUUUCAUCUAAAGCUAAAUAUUGGCGAGAGACCGAUAGCGAACAAGUACCGUGAGGGAAAGAUGAAAAGAACUUUGAAAAGAGAGUUAAACAGUACGUGAAAUUGUCAAAAGGGAAGCGUUUGACACCAGUGUUGUUUUUCUGAAAAUCAAUUAAAGAACUGUUUAUGCUAAGCUGUUUAGACUUUAUCAGCUAAUCUGUUUAGUUUUGAGCUUUUCUUUAAUGCACUUUUCAGUUAACAAGUCAACAUCAAUUUCUUUUGCUGUAAAAAAGCUUGAGGAAGGUGGCUUGAGAUUCGUCUUAAGUGUUUAUAGCCUCUUGCCUAUGCAGUCGGAGAGAUUGAGGUCUGCAGCGUAGAUCCUUCGGGGCUAAAUGCAUUUGUGCUAAGUUAUAGCAUUUCAUAGACAACUUGUUGACUAUGAUUUGUCUUGUAGCUUACUCGCUUAUGUUAUUUUACCUACGCUUAGGAUGUUGAAUCUGUGCGAGACUAC
Molecule: ribosomal RNA, 775 nt
Filed under: uncultured Neocallimastigales
Lineage: Eukaryota; Fungi; Neocallimastigomycota; Neocallimastigomycetes; Neocallimastigales
Description: partial large subunit ribosomal RNA
Rfam family: Eukaryotic large subunit ribosomal RNA
Source: RNAcentral